Molecule: long non-coding RNA, 1608 nt
Organism: Balaenoptera ricei (Rice's whale)
Lineage: Eukaryota; Metazoa; Chordata; Mammalia; Artiodactyla; Balaenopteridae
Exons: 4
Source: RefSeq, a predicted model, not a curated record
GUCUGGGCUGCCUCUCAGCGUCACUAAGAAAUCAUGGAGCCGGAGGGCAGGGGGCUGGAGAGGUGGAGGCUCUCCCACCGGUCCCUCCCCCAUUCUCCCAGGCUCAAAGGAAGAAGAAAUGUUGGCCAGGAAUGCAGAGAACCGUGAGCGGCUGAGGGACCCCUGGGGAGCCUGGUCCAGAACAGAGAGCAAUGACUUCAGGAGGGAGAGACCAGGGUCCAGGGACUGAGGCCCAGUAGGGACCGGAGUCACUGUAAGAAAAGAAACCAGAGAUCACUGAAGGGGAAAAGCCUGGAACCCAAAUUCAGCCCUGCCCUGGAGCCCAGUCCCUGCCUGGAUAUAAAGAUGAGGACAGCAGCAGCAGCAGGGGCCAGAGGCUCAGAGCCAUGUUUCCAGAUGAGGAAAUGGAGGCCCAAAGAAAUAGAAUACCUUGGCCCACGCAAUCAAAGGAGGUGAGGGCAGUGCUGGGAUUUUCCAAGGUGUGAGGUGGAAAUUCAGAGGCUGAGGUGCCAAAACAGCAAACACCCUUCUUCUCCCCAGUUAUAUAUGCUACUCCAAUGGACUUAACUCCUGGUCUCCAUGGCUGCCCUAAAUCCAUACCUGCAAACUCUUGCAACCGCUUACGCUCCUCUAGGUUGUACUGAAGCUUUUCUAGCAACUCAAAAUAUCGGAAGAGUGAAUCCCUAGGCCAAACAACACGUUCACCCUGAUCCAUAUCCAUUAGCCCAGGCAGAUUCUGGUGCACACGAGUCUCCCAGUCCAACUGACCUGGAGGGAGAAAUGCUUCUCAAAAACAUAUCUAGAUUCGUGGAAGUUGGAUAAAAGCUGAUCAACUCUAUGGGGGCAGGUGAGGAGAAAGCAGGGAUGAAAGAGGAUAUAGGAAGGAGAGAGAGAAAAGUAUGUAUCACCAAGACACCACUUUUACAAUAAACAAAGAGAGCCACAACCAUACUUUUCCAAAGUGCAGCAGAAGCACAGGGGAAAUGAAGAAGCGUGAAGAAAGUAAAAAAGGCUGGAAAAUCGGACUGGUGGAGAAAAUUGGGAAAUUUGCAUAGUGGGAGAGUUCCUAUUAAGACUGGGAUGUCUCAUGGAGAAGAGGAGUCUGAAUUCAACUGGGAGAAACCCUUGGCUUACCAACAGGGUCAUAAUAUCUGGAGUCAGAAGAAGAGGAACAGUAGGAAGAUGAAUAUGAGGAGGAAGAGGAAAAUGCAGACUUCUUCAUUUUUGACAAGGACUUCUUUGGUUUUGACUUAGAUGCUCUUGAACUCUCUUUAGUGGUACUGUGUUUGGACUCUUCUUUAGAAGCUACAGUUAAGUCCAAAGAUUCCCCUUGUUGAUUGGCAUCUCUGUAAGUGAAAGGCAAAAUUUUAUUGCUUCAAAUACAUUUACACGAUAUGGCUAGUUCUUUCAUUAUUCUAAUUCUGGCCCUGGCCUAAAGCUAGGACUUAAGGCAAUGAAGGCCAAACUGCUCCCAAAACCUAAGUUUAAGCACAUCCAACCUAAAUUAUCCCAUGUCAUGUAUCCCUAUUAGUGCCCCUCACCACAUAACGUCUGUGCUCAGUCUUACUCGGGCUUCCACGUUCCACACCCCACCUUAUUUUGCAAAGU